UACGUAGGGGGCAAGCGUUGUCCGGAAUCACUGGGCGUAAAGCGCGCGCAGGCGGUCAUCUACGUCUGGGGUGAAAGCCCGGAGCUCAACUCCGGGAUUGCCUUGGAUACGGGAUGACUUGAGGAUCGGAGAGGCAAGGGGAAUUCCACGUGUAGCGGUGAAAUGCGCAGAUAUCAGGAGGAACACCGGUGGCGAAGGCGGGUCUCUGGGCCGAAAUUGACGCUGAGGAGCGAAAGCGUGGGGAGCAAACAGG
RNAcentral lists this ribosomal RNA (253 nucleotides) under uncultured bacterium. RNAcentral's name for it is "partial 16S ribosomal RNA". It matches the Rfam family "Bacterial small subunit ribosomal RNA", at positions 524 to 776 of the family's 1533-position model. The record is from RNAcentral.